This 1178-nucleotide long non-coding RNA is filed under the name Felis catus (domestic cat). RNAcentral's name for it is "lncRNA (ENSFCAG00000049545.1)". Lineage: Eukaryota; Metazoa; Chordata; Mammalia; Carnivora; Felidae. The record is from RNAcentral.
CCUUCCUCCUUCCUCCUUCUUCCUUCCUUCCUCCCUCCUUCCUUCCUUCCUUCCCUCCCUCCCUCCUUCCUCCUUCCUUCCUUCCUUCCUUCCGUCCUUCCUUCCUUCCUCCCUCCUCCUUCCUUCCUUCCUCCUUCCUUCCUUCCUCCUUCCUCCCUCCCUCCUUCCUUCCUUCCUUCCUUCCUUCUUCCUUCCUUCUUCCUUCCUUCCUUCCUCCUUCCUUCCUUCCUUCUUCCUUCCUUCCUUCCUCCUUCCUUCCUUCCCUCCCUCCUUCCUUCCUUCCUUCCUUCCUUCCUUCCUUCCUUCCUUCCUUCCUCCUUCCUCCUUCCUUCCUUCCUCCCUCCCUCCUUCCUUCCUUCCUUCUUCCCUCCCUCCUUCCUUCCUUCCCUCCCUCCCUCCUUCCUUCCUUCCUUCCUCCUUCCUUCCUCCUUCCUUCCUUCCUCCUUCCUUCCUCCUCCUCCUUCCUUCCUUCCUUCCUGCCUUCCUUCCUCCUUCCUUCCUUCCUCCCUCCCUCCCUCCCUCUUUUCUUCCUUCCUUCUUCCUUCCUUCCUUCCUCCUUCCCUCCCUCCCUCCUUCCUUCCUCCUUCCUUCCCUCCCUCUUUCCUUCCUUCCUUCCUUCCUUCCUUCCUUCCUUCCUUCCUUCCUUCCUUCCUUCCUUCCUCCUUCCUUCCUCCCUCCUUCCUUCCUUCCUUCCUUCUUCCCUCCCUCCUUCCUUCCUUCCUCCCUCCUCCUUCCUUCCUUCCUUCCUCCUUCCUCCUUCCUUCUUCCUUCUUCCUUCCCUCCCUCCCUCCUUCCUUCCUCCCUCCCUCCUUCCUUCACUUCCUUCCUUCCUUCAUUCCUUCCUUCUUCCUUCCUCCUCCCUCCCUCCCUCCCUCUUUUCUUCCUUCCUUCUUCCUUCUUCCUUCCUCCUUCCCUCCCUCCCUCCUUCCUCCUUCCCUCCCUCCCUCUUUCCUUCCUUCCUUCCUCCUUCCUUCCUCCUUCCUUCCUCCUUCCUUCCUCCUUCCUUCCUUCCUUCCUCCCUUCCUUCCUUCCUUCCUCCCUUCCUUCCUCCUCCCUCCUUCCUCCUUCCUUCUUCCUCCUUCCUUCCUUCUUCCUUCUUCCUUCCUUCUUCCUUCUUCCUUCCUUCCUUCCUUCCUACAAUAGAAAAUUGUGGUAUCUCAUUCAGUUUAAAAGUGUAA